CUCGUUCUAUUCUUCACAUUCCAAAUCACGGCACCUUGUCUAGGGCUCAUUCAUCUGAUCUUAGCAAAACUAAUUAUCUUUGCAUUCUUCACCUAUUCAAGCAUUCUAGUCGAAGAAAUCCGAUUUCGUCUAUCGUUCAAGAGGAUUAGCCAAGCGAUUUCUUCUCAUCUCUCAACUCUUGAGUAGCCGCUACUUUGAUACAAUCAGACCAAUACUUCAAAGCUUGAGACUGAGUUUGCCUUUUGUCGUCUCCAUUCGUUUGUAUCUCAUUUGAGUUGACUUCUAAGUUGUGAAUGGUUGGUGCUCUUCAAGAUGUUCGAUCUGACUUGACACAGAGUUGCGAGUUCUUUUUUAUAAAGUUUUGGAGGAUUUGGAUGCACAUCUUUAUAAUAAGGGUGAAUAUAGGUUCGCUUUUCUCUAAGUUUUUGUUUUGUGGAACAAAGGCAUUGGAUAUGCUGCUUGGUUACAAGUUUUUGAUCUUGCUUUGAUUGCUUUCAUGCUCGUGGAGUCCCUGCUGAUAUGGUCCAUUGUUAAUUUUUUGCUUAUUGGUCUUUUUUGUAUUUAGCUUAUUGGAUUAUCAUAUCCAUAUAGCUAUCUUUGAAGGGUAGCCCAGAAUGAAGGC
Molecule: long non-coding RNA, 622 nt
Organism: Pistacia vera
Lineage: Eukaryota; Viridiplantae; Streptophyta; Magnoliopsida; Sapindales; Anacardiaceae
Exons: 3
Source: RefSeq, a predicted model, not a curated record